GUUAGCCUAUGUGCGAGUGGCUGGGUGAAUGCGUGGGGUGGUAGGGGUAAUGGGAAGUACAGGGGGUAAAUGAGGCGGAGGGGGUGAUGUGAGAAAGUGGUGAACGCCCCGGGCUCAACCGGGGAACUGCGUUUGUGACUGCAUAACGAGAGUACGGAAGAGGGAGGUGGAAUUCCACGGGUAGCAGUGAAAUGCGUAGAGAUGUGGAGGAACACCGAGGGCGAAGGCAGCCUCCUGGGCCAGUACUGACGCUCAUGCACGAAAGCGUGGGGAGCAAACAGGAGUAGAUACCCCGUAGUC
RNAcentral lists this ribosomal RNA (300 nucleotides) under uncultured bacterium. RNAcentral describes it as "bacterial SSU rRNA". It matches the Rfam family "Bacterial small subunit ribosomal RNA", at positions 496 to 795 of the family's 1533-position model. The record is from RNAcentral.